ACCCGCUGAAUUUAAGCAUAUCAAUAAGCGGAGGAAAAGAAACCAACAGGGAUUGCCUUAGUAACGGCGAGUGAAGCGGCAAAAGCUCAAAUUUGAAAUCGGCCCCCAGGUCGAGUUGUAAUUUGUAGAUUGUAUCUUGAGAGCGGAUUAAAGUCUGUUGGAACACAGCGCCUUAGAGGGUGACAGCCCCGUAAAAUCUAUUCUCAUUGUAAGAUACUUUCGAAGAGUCGAGUUGUUUGGGAAUGCAGCUCUAAGUGGGAGGUAAAUUCCUUCUAAAGCUAAAUAUUGACGAGAGACCGAUAGCGAACAAGUACUGUGAAGGGAAGAUGAAAAGCACUUUGAAAAGAGAGUGAAAAAGUACGUGAAAUUGUUAAAAGGGAAGGGUAUUGAAUCAGACUUGGUGCUGUUGUUCAACUGUGUUUCGGCACAGUGUACUCAGCAGUACUAGGCCAAGGUGGGGUGUUUGGGAGUGAAAAAGAAGUUGGAACGUAACUCUUCGGAGUGUUAUAGCCUACUUUCAUAGCUCCUCAGGCGCCUCAGGACUGCGCUUCGGCAAGGACCUUGGCAUAAUGAUUCUAUACCGCCCGUCUUGAAACACGGACCAAGA
This 607-nucleotide ribosomal RNA is filed under the name uncultured fungus. RNAcentral's name for it is "eukaryotic LSU rRNA". It matches the Rfam family "Eukaryotic large subunit ribosomal RNA", at positions 23 to 671 of the family's 3401-position model. Lineage: Eukaryota; Fungi. The record is from RNAcentral.